AUCUUUUACUUUCAUCGCAACGCACGGGCACAUAUCUAGAAUAUAUAUUGUUAUCGUGUUAUUGUACGAUUCCGUGGCAUAUUAUAGUGAUGAUAGUGCAAAGUUUGUUAAAAGGUAAGGGCAGCCAUAAUGUACAGUGCUGUAGUUGUAUGUUUCAUUUCUUUCUCUAAUAAAUAUUAUAUCAUUUGAUAAGAUCAAGUCAGUUUAUGUUUGGGCAGGUUAUAAUGUUUUUGCCCUUUUAACUUUACUAUAUACCCUUUUUUGUCAAGGCUUUGAUGAUAAGCCAAUGGUUAAAAGGGCUGUCAUUGUAACCCCCACAAGCUUAGUUAGCAACUGGGAAUCUGAGAUAAUUAAGUGGUUGAAAGGCAGAGUGCAGGUGCUGGCCCUCUGUGAAAGCACACGUGCUGAUGUUCUUUCCGGAAUUGAAAGUUUCUUAAAACCCUUGAGCCGUCUCCAGGUUUUCUUUUGCUUACUAAUUAUUUCCCAUGCUUUUCUGCUGAGGGCUAGAGAACUGCAGCAGCUGAACUUUGUCAUAAUUUUUAGCAAUUUUGAGAUACAAAUGCCUCUCAUCAGUAUCUUAUAGUUUGCCCUUUCCUUUCUGCCUCACCUUGCAGGGGGAGGAACUGCGCAAGCACAUUGGCGCAACUUGUUACAUCGAAUGCAGCUAAAAAACUCAGCAGAUUAUUAAGGGCAGGCAAACCUUACUUGUUUUAUGGCUAGAAAUAAUGAGGGUCAUCUCCAGCUGCCAGAGAUGGAUCAUAUUCAACCCAAGAACACCCCGCACAAUGAACCACUGCCUCUAGCCUCCUGAGAACUGGAACGGUGGUGUUGGGUUUGUGUCUAAGGAAAUGAUCCAAUCUCAUUGUCCAGCGCCUGCUGAGUACAUUCAGGCCAUGGAUGCACACCUUGACGAGCUCAACUACACAAAGGAGAUGCAGUUCCAGUUCACGGAUGCAUAUAGCCGAGCAUGCAGCUUUCUUAAACCACAAAGACAGUUACAUCAGAAGCUGUAUCAGAAGUGGUUCAGAGUUCUGUUUCUGUGGCGGUCGAUGCUGUUGACUUGGUAGAUGACAAGGGAGAUAGCGAUGAUGACAUCGUCGAUCACCAUGGGGACGAGGACAGGAUGACUGAUGUGGAGCUGUGGCAGCAACUUGAAAGUGAGUUGUACCGGAAGAGGGAGGGAGAAGAAGAUGACAUAGCCGAAGAGAUGGCUGAAAGUACAAUUGCUGAGGAGGUGGGUGGCGUGGCUGAAGAUGUGCUCAGCGAGACAAAGGAAGUGCAUAGGUU
Molecule: long non-coding RNA, 1287 nt
Organism: Zea mays
Lineage: Eukaryota; Viridiplantae; Streptophyta; Magnoliopsida; Poales; Poaceae
Exons: 5
Source: RefSeq, a predicted model, not a curated record